GAUGAACGCUGGCGGCGUGCCUAAUACAUGCAAGUCGAGCGAACGUACGAGAAGCUUGUUUCUUUGAUGUUAGCGGCGGACGGGUGAGUAACACUUGGAUACCCUACCUAUACGGCUGAGAUAACUUCGGAAAACCGGAGCUAAUCCCGGAUGAUAUUUUGAACCGCAUGGUUCAUACGUUAAAGACGGUCUUGCUGUCACUUAUAGACGUAUCCGCGCUGCAUGACCGAGUUGGUAAGUUAACAGCUUACCAAGGCAACGAUGCAUAACCGACCUAGAAGGGUGAUCGGCAAAACAAGACAUGAAACAAGAAAAGAAAUACUAACAUACGCAGAAGUAGGGAAGCUCCCGCAAUGGGCGAAAGCCUGAAGAAGCAACGCCGCGUGGGUGAUGAAGAUCUCCGGAUCGAGAAACCCUGUUAUGAGGUAAGAGCAACUGGGUGAGUAAUUGUCCAGAACUUGACGGUACCGAAUUAGAAAGCAACGGCUAACUACGUG
This 497-nucleotide ribosomal RNA is filed under the name uncultured bacterium. RNAcentral's name for it is "partial 16S ribosomal RNA". It matches the Rfam family "Bacterial small subunit ribosomal RNA", at positions 28 to 507 of the family's 1533-position model. The record is from RNAcentral.